GCUGGAUAUGAUGAAAGAACUCCGGAUGUUAAAUCAUAUUAUCUCCGAGAGCGCAAAACCAUGUGGAGACUUUCCGUUGCCUUCCUUCUGAUCCCAA
Molecule: small nucleolar RNA, 97 nt
Filed under: Drepanopeziza brunnea f. sp. 'multigermtubi' MB_m1
Lineage: Eukaryota; Fungi; Ascomycota; Leotiomycetes; Helotiales; Drepanopezizaceae
Description: Marssonina brunnea f. sp. 'multigermtubi' MB_m1 Small nucleolar RNA Z13/snr52
Rfam family: Small nucleolar RNA Z13/snr52
About the family: Z13 or snr52 is a member of the C/D class of snoRNA which contain the C (UGAUGA) and D (CUGA) box motifs. Most of the members of the box C/D family function in directing site-specific 2'-O-methylation of substrate RNAs.
Source: Rfam by way of RNAcentral